This 497-nucleotide ribosomal RNA is filed under the name uncultured bacterium. Its description in RNAcentral is "partial 16S ribosomal RNA". It matches the Rfam family "Bacterial small subunit ribosomal RNA", at positions 28 to 507 of the family's 1533-position model. The record is from RNAcentral.
GAUGAACGCUGGCGGCGUGCCUAAUACAUGCAAGUCGAGCGAACAGACGAGGAGCUUGCUCCUCUGACGUUAGCGGCGGACGGGUGAGUAACACGUGGAUAACCUACCUAUAAGACUGGGAUAACUUCGGGAAACCGGAGCUAAUACCGGAUAAUAUAUUGAACCGCAUGGUUCAAUAGUGAAAGACGGUUUUGCUGUCACUUAUAGAUGGAUCCGCGCCGCAUUAGCUAGUUGGUAAGGUAACGGCUUACCAAGGCAACGAUGCGUAGCCGACCUGAGAGGGUGAUCCGCCACACUGGAACUGGGACACGGUCCAGACUCCUACGGGAGGCAACAAUAGGGAAUCUUCCGCCAUGGGCGAAAGCCUGACGGAGCAACGCCGCGGGAGUGAUGAAGGUCUUCGGAUCGUAAAACUCUGUUAUUAGGGAAAAACAAAUGUGUAAGUAACUAUGCACGUCUUGACGGUACCUAAUCAGAAAGCCACGGCUAACUACGUG